GGUUGAUCCUGCCAGUAGUCAUAUGCUUGUCUCAAAGAUUAAGCCAUGCAUGUCUAAGUAUAAGCACUUUAUACAGCGAAACUGCGAAUGGCUCAUUAAAUCAGUUAUAAUUUACUUGAUAGUACCUAUUUACUUGGAAUAACCGAGGAAAAUCUUCAGCUAAUACAUGCUUACAUCCCUGACUGUUUGGAAAGGGAGUAUUUAUUAGAUAAAAAACCAAUGCCUUCGGGCUUUUGGAUGAUUCAUAGUAACUUUUCGAAUCGCAUGGCUCACGCCGGCGAUGGUUCAAUCAA
Molecule: ribosomal RNA, 293 nt
Filed under: uncultured eukaryote
Lineage: Eukaryota
Description: partial 18S ribosomal RNA
Rfam family: Eukaryotic small subunit ribosomal RNA
Source: RNAcentral